GAUGAACGCUGGUGGCGUGCCUAAUACAUGCAAGUCGAGCGAACAGACGAGGAGCUUGCUCCUCUGACGUUAGCGGCGGACGGGUGAGUAACACGUGGAUAACCUACCUAUAAGACUGGGAUAACUUCGGGAAACCGGAGCUAAUACCGGAUAAUAUAUUGAACCGCAUGGUUCAAUAGUGAAAGACGGUUUUGCUGUCACUUAUAGAUGGAUCCGCGCCGCAUUAGCUAGUUGGUAAGGUAACGGCUUACCAAGGCAACGAUGCGUAGCCGACCUGAGAGGGUGAUCGGCCACACUGGAACUGAGACACGGUCCAGACUCCUACGGGAGGCAGCAGUAGGGAAUCUUCCGCAAUGGGCGAAAGCCUGACGGAGCAACGCCGCGUGCGUGAUGAAGGUCUUCGGAUCGUAAAACUCUGUUAUUAGGGAAGAACAAAUGUGUAAGUAACUAUGCACGUCUUGACGGUACCUAAUCAGAAAGCCACGGCUAACUACGUG
RNAcentral lists this ribosomal RNA (497 nucleotides) under uncultured bacterium. Its description in RNAcentral is "partial 16S ribosomal RNA". It matches the Rfam family "Bacterial small subunit ribosomal RNA", at positions 28 to 507 of the family's 1533-position model. The record is from RNAcentral.